This 229-nucleotide ribosomal RNA is filed under the name uncultured bacterium. RNAcentral describes it as "partial 16S ribosomal RNA". It matches the Rfam family "Bacterial small subunit ribosomal RNA", at positions 568 to 796 of the family's 1533-position model. The record is from RNAcentral.
UAUGUAGGUGGUUAUGUAAGUCGAGCGUGAAAUCCAUUGGCUCAACCAAUGAACUGCACUCGAAACUGCGUAACUUGAGUUCAGGAGAGGAAAGCGGAAUUCCCGGUGUAAGAGUGAAAUCUGUAGAGAUCGGGAGGAACACCAGUGGCGAAGGCGGCUUUCUGGACUGAUACUGACACUGAAAUACGAAAGCUAGGGGAGCAAACAGGAUUAGAUACCCUGGUAGUCC